GAUGAACGCUGGCGGCGUGCCUAAUACAUGCAAGUCGAGCGAACAGACGUGGAGCUUGCUCCUCUGACGUUAGCGGCGGACGGGUGAGUCACACGUGGAUAACCUACCUAUAAGACUGGGAUAACUUCGGGAAACCGGAGCUAAUACCCGAUAAUAUAUUGACCCGCAUUGUUCAAUAGUGAAAUACGGUUUUGCUGUCACUUAUAGCUGGAUCCGCGCCGCAUUAGCUAGUUGGUAAGGUAACGGCUUACCAAGGCAACGAUGCGUAGCCGACCUGAGAGGGUGAUCGGACACACGGGAACUGAGACACGGUCCAGACUCCGACGGGAGGCAGCAGUAGGGAAUCUUCCGCAAUGGGCGAAAGCCUGACGGAGCAACGCCGCGUGAGUGAUGAAGGUCUUCGGAUCGUAAAACUCUGUUAUUAGGGAAGAACAAAUGUGUAAGUAACUAUGCACGUCUUGACGGUACCUAAUCAGAAAGCCACGGCUAACUACGUG
Molecule: ribosomal RNA, 497 nt
Filed under: uncultured bacterium
Lineage: Bacteria
Description: partial 16S ribosomal RNA
Rfam family: Bacterial small subunit ribosomal RNA
Source: RNAcentral